This 497-nucleotide ribosomal RNA is filed under the name uncultured bacterium. RNAcentral describes it as "partial 16S ribosomal RNA". It matches the Rfam family "Bacterial small subunit ribosomal RNA", at positions 28 to 507 of the family's 1533-position model. The record is from RNAcentral.
GAUGAACGCUGGCGGCGUGCCUAAUACAUGCAAGUCGAGCGAACAGACGAGGAGCUUGCUCCUCUGACGUUAGCGGCGGACGGGUGAGUAACACGUGGAUAACCUACCUAUAAGACUGGGAUAACUUCGGGAAACCGGAGCUAAUACCGGAUAAUAUAUUGAACCGCAUGGUUCAAUAGUGAAAGACGGUUUUGCUGUCACUUAUAGAUGGAUCCGCGCCGCAUUAGCUAGUUGGUAAAGUAACGGCUUACCAAGGCAACGAUGCGUAGCCGACCUGAGAGGGUGAUCGGCCACACUGGAACUGAGACACGGUCCAGACUCUUACGGGAGGCAGCAGUAGGGAAUCUUCCGCAAUGGGCGAAAGCCUGACGGAGCAACGCCGCGUGAGUGAUGAAGGUCUUCGGAUCGUAAAACUCUGUUAUUAGGGAAGAACAAAUGUGUAAGUAACUAUGCACGUCUUGACGGUACCUAAUCAGAAAGCCACGGCUAACUACGUG